AUUGAACGCUGGCGGCAUGCCUAACACAUGCAAGUCGAACGGCAGCACAGCAGUAGCAAUACUGUGGGUGGCGAGUGGCGGACGGGUGAGGAAUACGUCGGAAUCUGCCCAGUCGUGGGGGAUAACUAGCCGAAAGGUUAGCUAAUACCGCAUACGACCGAGAGGUGAAAGCGGGGGACCGCAAGGCCUCGCGCGAUUGGAUGAGCCGACGUCGGAUUAGCUAGUUGGCGGGGUAAAGGCCCACCAAGGCGACGAUCCGUAGCUGGUCUGAGAGGAUGAUCAGCCACACUGGAACUGAGACACGGUCCAGACUCCUACGGGAGGCAGCAGUGGGGAAUAUUGGACAAAUGGGCGCAAGCCUGAUCCAGCAAAUGCCGCGUGUGUGAAGAAGGCCUC
This 396-nucleotide ribosomal RNA is filed under the name uncultured bacterium. Its description in RNAcentral is "bacterial SSU rRNA". It matches the Rfam family "Bacterial small subunit ribosomal RNA", at positions 29 to 418 of the family's 1533-position model. The record is from RNAcentral.